GACGAACGCUGGCGGCGUGCCUAAUACAUGCAAGUAGAACGCUGACUACUUUAGCUUGCUAGAGUAGAAGGAGUUGCGAACGGGUGAGUAACGCGUAGGUAACCUGCCUACUAGCGGGGGAUAACUAUUGGAAACGAUAGCUAAUACCGCAUAACAGUGUUUAACACAUGUUAGAUGCUUGAAAGAUGCAAUUGCAUCACUAGUAGAUGGACCUGCGUUGUAUUAGCUAGUUGGUGGGGUAACGGCCCACCAAGGCGACGAUACAUAGCCGACCUGAGAGGGUGGCCGGCCACAUUGGGACUGAGACACGGCCCAG
RNAcentral lists this ribosomal RNA (316 nucleotides) under uncultured bacterium. RNAcentral's name for it is "bacterial SSU rRNA". It matches the Rfam family "Bacterial small subunit ribosomal RNA", at positions 28 to 334 of the family's 1533-position model. The record is from RNAcentral.